This 1477-nucleotide long non-coding RNA is filed under the name Sus scrofa (pig). RNAcentral describes it as "lncRNA (ENSSSCG00050049093.1)". Lineage: Eukaryota; Metazoa; Chordata; Mammalia; Artiodactyla; Suidae. The record is from RNAcentral.
GUGACAGAAGAAAAUGCUUGAAGUUCCCAGAGCCGAAUUCCCCAAACUUCAGUACAAAUGACAACUAUACAUUAACAAAAGCAAGCUGAACUCAGAGUCUUCCAGAUUCAUCCCGAAGAUGGGCCUACUUUGGACACCUGUGUAAACUGUCUCAAACUGCGUUAUUUCCUGGUGUGAAUUUCUGAUAUGAGAGUGAUCUGGUGGGAUUUCAGGGUUUACAGAUCAGUACUGCUCCCCAUGUUAUUAAAACAACAACAAAACAGGUUAUUUGUGGGUAACUGAAAUAAUACCUAGUUAGCUUUUGGGGUGACCAAAUGUUAAUUUAAGCAAGGGGCAUAGUUCUGGCCGCUUUUCUUUGUUGAGAAAAAAUGAAUGAAUAGCGAGCCCAUUAAAAACCUUCCUCUAUCAGAGCCUAGCUGUGGAGAAACUUACUUAAUGGAUCUGCUGAUAAUGACUUUGCAAAGAACCACUACUGUUAUUUUGUCAUAUACUACCCUGUCUCAGAUGUCUUUACUGUUAGGGUAAAGACACCCUAAUCUACUGUUAGGGUAAAGACGCCCUCACCUUAAUCCAGACACUCAUCACCUUCUACCAAAGCUACUAUGACAACUUCCUGGCUAGACUUCUGCCUGCAGCCUCAUGUAUAUCCUAGUUCACGGUGGGUCUAGCUGGCUCAGAAAUCAUCCUAAAAGGUCAUGUUCAUGCUAUUAAUCCCUUUUCAAGGACUUGCAGUGGCACCCCACUGUUGAUCUCAUUAGGUUAAAACACCUUAUUCUCUGCAUCAGUAUGAGUACACCCUCUCUGCUCUGCCCAAAUUGGAACAGCCUGGAGCUUUUAUUUAUGCUCUUCCAUCAUUUUUUUUGGGGGGGGGGGUCAAAUUUUUACCCAUCAAGCAAUUUGGCAAUAUGUACUGGGUCUUAAUUUUUUCCUACUCUUAAGGAAACAAUUCUUCAUAUAGAAACUCAUUUCAUGUACAAAGAUGGCCAUUACAGUUACUUAUAUACUAUAUAGUUAAAAGUUACAACUUAAAUGUUUAGCAAAGGAGAAAGAAUUAAGUGUGGUCCAUUUAUAAAACAGACAUAUAAAUGACAUUGUUAACACAGCAUAAAGAAUUAAUGUAAAAAAAAAUACUUAUGUUCCAACAGAGGAGAAAAAAAAAUUGAAGUCUGUAUAGAGCAUGAGCUCAAUUAAAAAAUAGGGAAGAACUUUUAGAAAUACAUAUUCCAAAACUGUCAAGAGAGGUUAUCUAUGGAUGGCACGAUUAUGGGUUACUUCUAGUUUUUUGUUUUUCAUACUUUUUCAGUGAUAUUUUAAUCAAAACAAUGUACUUUUUUCUUUUUAUAUCUUUUAUUGCUUUUGUUUCUGAUAGUUAAGGUAAUUCAUACCUAUUGUUAAAAUUUCAGACAAUAUAGAAAUACAUACAUUUUUAAAAAAUAAAAAUCACCUAUAAUUUCAAUAAAAGAAUCACCUAGUGAUA